CAUGGCUGGGAACCACUGGUCUAGGAAACAUGGAUUGUGAAGAUUAGAUGUACCCUUGGACAGUACAACCUAUUGAAUGAACUGUGCAUCUAUUCUUCACUGUUUCAUUUGCAUAAAAUUAAAUUUGCCGUCUUCUGACUAAAGGCCGGGACACAGCAAGCAAACGUCAAGCCGUCGGUGAGCAUCUGUUGGGCUAGUUUUUUUGUUGCUGUUUUUGUUGUGUUCUACACGUUUGCUGUCGUCAGGCUCAAAAUGGCGUUUGGCUUCUGUUUCCAUGAUGUCACACUGGGUAGCUCCGCCCAUAGUGAAUCCUCAUUGGUCCAAGAUCCUGCCCCACAUAGAUCUACAGUUACCACAGACCUCGGUUUCUGAGAAAGGACAGAAAACAUGUUAACCUUUGUAUAUCUUCAAUGAAGCCCUAGCAUGCAAUUGUAAAGUAUGUCUAAUUUAAAUAAAAUAUCCGAC
Long non-coding RNA from Sinocyclocheilus anshuiensis, 465 nucleotides. RefSeq lists it as uncharacterized. The transcript has 3 exons. NCBI's taxonomy places the organism in Eukaryota, Metazoa, Chordata, Actinopteri, Cypriniformes, Cyprinidae. The record is from RefSeq and is a predicted model, not a curated record.